GUCACGCGCCGCUUGCUGGCUCGCGGCCCCCAAGCUGCGUUGACCCGCGCAGGCCUAGGCGGUUGCGAACACCCGCCUCCUAGUCCCCACGCGCCGACUUCCGGUCUUUUUCUACAUCUAUUGGUCAACCUCUGUAACCAUCGCGUCACGACCUUAAAGUGGAUUAGUUGGCCUUGUGGUCAGUCAUAGUGACCCCUGACAAGGGGAGGCUUCAUUGGCGCCAUAAAGUGUCGAUCACUUUGUCACAGGACGUCGCGUGGUACAAUUGGCAGGCAAUAGUACCAUUCAUCCCGCCCCCGUCUGAGGUGACGGGAAAGGGUUGGGGAAUUUCCACUUCUGAUUAAAAUGACGGCUGAGGUGACGACCCGCCAGAAUUAGUGAGAUUUGGAGUAGAAUUCACCCCGAGCUUGGUGAGGCUUAUACGUUAAGGAUGCAAGAGGCACAGAGGUUACCAAGCUCCCACCUGUCGCUCUCCGCCAGACGCCGAGACUGCGGCCGGAGAGUUCCUGCACGGGGAUUGGAGGAAUGAAGCAAUCAGUCUCAUCUAGUCCCCACCUUCCUCGCAGUCUCUGGUUGGAGGAGCGGAGCGUCAGUCACUAGAGCGGUCGCCACCUCUGGGACAGGAAUUUGUUGUCAACUCCUGGACAGGUCCUAUAGUGGAAUUCAGCACCAGGAAAAGAGGGUUCACGUGAGGAUCAAAUGAGACCAAGUGUGGAGAAAACUUAACACGGUGCCUAGUGCACAGUAAGUAUUUAGCCAGUGUCAGUUCUUGCUGUAUUUGUUAUUAUUACUGCCCUGCCCCUGAUGCCAGCCUAACAAAGGUACCUUCAGUACAGGUGCCAGGAAGAUGGAGGCUCCUGUGAGGAUAAACACCACCAGGCCUGUCAGCCUCUGCUCCCUGUGGGGUGAGGGAAGAGUUAGCUAGGGGCUGGGAGAGCCCCCAGGGUGCGUGGCUUGGAGAUGCUGACCAGACGCCACUACAGGCACUGGCAGGAGGGAAGUGGAGAGAGCCCUUCCCCCCAACCCCCCCCCCCCAAUAGUAGCCUGGCAGGGAGGGGGCCUUAGCAUCAUGUGCAAAAUUGGUGGAAAGGAAGGGGCAGGGCACUUGAGCUGGGAUGUUCCAGGCCUCUCCAUCAGCUCAAGCUCAUAGUUGCUCUUUGUUUUUAUUUUUUAUUUUGGUGCAACGUUAGCGAUUUUUACACUGCCAUAAAAACUUUCAUUUCACAGUUUCAAAGUUGAUUUCACAAACUUUCCACGGAUUGUAUUUCCAACGGUUAGAAAAUUGUUUUUGUGACAGUAACUUUGUAACAUCAGUGAGGCACUCCUACCUUGCGGGGUGGAGGGGGGGGCGGGGAUGGGGGGGUUUGUUAGGUGGCACCUCACCUUCCCUUGGCCCUGGCCGCCUCUGCCUUUGUGUCCAUGAGGCUCCUCCCACGGGCCCUCCCACACCCAUGGCCAAGGAGAAGAGGGAAGACCUGACACGCCCAUCUCAGCCCGGAACCCACCCAUUCACCCCACUGCAGUGCUUAUGGAGUAGUGAGAGAGCCCUCUGGAGGCUUAGAAUUUAAGCUGUCCAAAUCACUCUGCCUUGUACUCCCCUACACCACCUUACUGAUGGAUCUCUCACUCUGGCCUCCUCAAUAUUGGCCUCACCUGAUGCCCAGGAAGCUGCGGGGUUCCCCCAGGACACAAGCUGUGCUCUCUCUCCGAAGACUGUCCAUAUGGGCCAGGGAGAUGACUGUGGCUGAGACAUACCAGGGCAGCCCAAGCACUGAUGUGAGCAGCAGCAGCACAGCCACACAGAAGAGGUCCAGGUGGAAGCCAGCUCCCUUCUGCAGGUAGUGGUGGAGCAUCGAGGAUGAAACUAAGCCAGAUCUGGGCUCUCUGUCCUCUGGAGUGGGAGAGGGAGGACCUGGACCCCACCCUGGAGUUUCUGUACCUUGGUCUAGGGGCCUCUGGUCCUACCCAGCAGGUCUUACCUGCAGUUUAUAUUCGGCACGGUUGAGGAUGACCGCUGUGAUCUGCUGGUCCAUGAAGAUAAGGAUAGACAGCAGCAGAGCAGGGAGGGCGGCUGCCACACUCAGCCACCAGGGGUUGGCUCCAAAAGGUGACACCAGCCAUCCACGCCCAGGGAGUGUGGGCUGGGAGAGGGCAUUCCGUGGACAAGUUAGAGAGGGUCUCCCAAGAGCACCUCACCUGCACACCCCGGCUUUGGCAUUCCUCCAUAACCCCCCAACCCCCUUACCCCAGUUCCAAGACCCUGGGUGGUAGGUGGGAGCAGUAUGUGUGCAUGUACAACUGGUUGAAAGCAUUCCAGUGCCUUAAAAGAGGGCAGAAGAAGGGGAACCAGCCUGGGAGUUGGGCUGGAGCCAGGGGCUCUGGAUUUUGGUUCUCAGGUGCCCUCCCUCCCUGCAAGAGGAGGAGAUGGUGGGUGAGGCCUGCCCACAUUUCUUGAUGUACAGAGCCCUCCUCCCUAGGCACCCCCCGCCCCCUACAACCAGGGUGGGGCGACUCAGGCUCAAACCUGCCUUGAUCUGGGGCCAGGGCAGGGCUGGGUGUGUCUGCGUCUGCUCUGAUUAUAAGCGUCUGUGUCGGGGAGGGGACCCCAGUUGCCAUCUCAGAUUCUGAGCCCCUGAGGCUACCCCAGGUGGAGUCUCCCUGCUCUCCUGUCCUGGGGGAAGCUGGAGAGGAGGUCUCCAAAUGCACAGGCAAAGUCUAGGUGCUAAGUCCGUGCUAAGCCUUGUCCUGUGCACUGCUGUGCCCUUGGGAGGGAGCUCCAGCUUUAGCAGAUCAGAGCCGGCAAACAGGGGUGCAAAGAAGACAGUGCGGAGUAGUAGGGUGGGUAGGGCCAACCUAUGACAACAAUAAGUAACAUUUUUUGAGAUCUUGGUAUGUGCCAGAUGAGUGACUUACACUCAUCUUCCGUGAACCUCAGAACAACUUAUAGAGUAGCAGCUAUUGUUAUUUAUUAUUUCCAUUUUACUGGUAAAUAAAUUGAGGCUCAUUGAUGAGAAAUGUGGGUUGGCUUGCCUAAGGUCACACAGCUAGGAAGUGGCAGAACUGGAUCUCGAGCCCAGGGCUGGCUGACUAGAACCCAACCUCUUAACCCCUAAUUUAUAAUAAUAACUCCCAUGUUUUCUGUACCCACUGUGUUGGCAGCAACACCUCAUUAAUCCUCACAACAACUCUGUGAGGUCAUUAUUAUUACUAUUUGUAUUUUAUGAGCAAGGAAAUGGAAGCUCAGAGGAAGAAAAGCAUGGUAUCCAUUCAUCUUCCUCCUCCAAAGUCCUGUCUGCUGGCCCUGCUCUCCCCUCUGUUCUACACUCCCAGCUCUCACCUUGAACUCGCCGGGCACCAUGAGCUUUGGUGUGGCUAGACCCAGGAAGGAGUCGAGGCCACAGCCCAGCAGCAUGGCCAGGACUGAGGAGAAGUCACCGAGCACUUUGCGCACCUGGCCACACAGUGGACACUUGGUCAGGUUCAGGCCUGCCAGCUCCCUCCCUCUUUACCCUUUCCCAUUCACAGACAGGGCCCAAGGCCAAGAGGCAGUACUCUCCCACAGACAGAGGUAACACUCACCACAGAGGGGAAGAAGCGGCUUGUCUUUACAUGCUUGAGGGCCGUGGCUAUGAGGAAAGAAGUAAGGAAGAGGAGGACAGAGAAGAAGGCGAUGUCUGGGACUGUAUGACAGCCGGGACCACGAGGGUGGCCUCCCCGUCGGGCACACUCAGGUGGGGGCAGCAAGGAGGCAUUGACCAGGCCUAGGUCCUGUAUGGAGGGGUGUUCAGGUAUGGGGUUAUGGGUGGCAGAAUAAACGUUGACUGACACUCACUGAGACACCAAGGGCCCAGGAUAGGAGGUCUCCAGCCACAGCAAAUGUCUGGGCCUCUGUGAACUGUAAUGGUUUCCCUAGCCUGUGGGGAGGGAAAAGCCAGGAACCACUGACUUCUUUGGCUUCCACCAUGUCUUUCCCAGGACUCUCCCAGGAACUGGCCCUCACCAUGCUUGAGAUGUCAUCUCUGUCUUUUGGUUCUGUCUUCUUCCACUGAGACUCAUUUCCUGGGAAGCAGAGAACAAUUUGGGUAUAUGUGCCUCCUCUGGAAAGCUUCUCCAGCCCCUCAGGAGCCUGAUCUCAUGGAUCCAACUGAGCCAGAAAGUUCUUAGUUCUGACUCAUCUGUCUUCUGACCCUAAAUGCUGUGCUCCUCAGGACAUCUCCCAGUCCCUACCAAUUCCUUACAUCUCUGUAUCCCUGGUGCCCGGCAUAGGACCAGCCAGAGCAGAUGCCUAGCAAAUGUUUGCUUAAAAGAUGAGCACACCAAUCUGUGGGUUUCUAUCAGGACCAGAACUGGUUUUGCUCAUGCCUAACACAGAGUCUGGCACUCUUGAGAGGAUAUCUCUUCCCCAUUCCUGCUGCUUCCUUGUGCAGGGGUAUGUGCAAGUGUAAAACUCUGAGCUGCUCUUCCCCUCAGUCAGUCACUCAGACUAGGGGAAGAGCAGCAAUUUAUUCGAUUGGUGAAUUUGAGAGAAGGAAUGGAGCAUGCCUCUCCCUGUCCCUUCCUCUCCCCACUCUUGGGAAUAAGCUGCCUGCCCUGUGCAUGCAACUUAGCUCUGCCCUUCUGUGGCAAGACAGUCCCUGUCCAGGGCAGCCAUGACUGGGUGGGUAAAUCUAUUUAAUUUUGGUUUCAUUGUUAGGAAGCCCGUUUCCCCAUAGAUAUAAGCAUGUUCUUCUAUCAGCACUGUCAGAAAUAAAGAUGAUAUUGGGGCACCUG
Long non-coding RNA from Leopardus geoffroyi (Geoffroy's cat), 4770 nucleotides. RefSeq lists it as uncharacterized. Lineage: Eukaryota; Metazoa; Chordata; Mammalia; Carnivora; Felidae. The record is from RefSeq and is a predicted model, not a curated record. The transcript has 3 exons.